This 429-nucleotide ribosomal RNA is filed under the name Chloroflexota bacterium. RNAcentral's name for it is "Chloroflexi bacterium partial 16S ribosomal RNA". It matches the Rfam family "Bacterial small subunit ribosomal RNA", at positions 355 to 776 of the family's 1533-position model. The record is from RNAcentral. Lineage: Bacteria; Bacillati; Chloroflexota.
UGGGGAAUAUUGCACAAUGGGCGCAAGCCUGAUGCAGCCAUGCCGCGUGUAUGAAGAAGGCCUUCGGGUUGUAAAGUACUUUCAGUCGGGAGGAAGGUGUCAAGGUUAAUAACCUUGGCAAUUGACGCUACCGACAGAAGAAGCACCGGCUAACUCCGUGCCAGCAGCCGCGGUAAUACGGAGGGUGCAAGCGUUAAUCGGAAUUACUGGGCGUAAAGCGCACGCAGGCGGUUGAUUGAGUCAGAUGUGAAAUCCCCGGGCUUAACCCGGGAAUUGCAUCUGAUACUGGUCAGCUAGAGUCUUGUAGAGGGGGGUAGAAUUCCAUGUGUAGCGGUGAAAUGCGUAGAGAUGUGGAGGAAUACCGGUGGCGAAGGCGGCCCCCUGGACAAAGACUGACGCUCAGGUGCGAAAGCGUGGGGAGCAAACAGG